RNAcentral lists this transfer-messenger RNA (398 nucleotides) under Flavobacterium psychrotolerans. RNAcentral describes it as "Standard tmRNA". It matches the Rfam family "transfer-messenger RNA". Rfam says of the family: Bacterial tmRNA, also known as 10Sa RNA or SsrA, is named for its dual tRNA and mRNA-like properties. Its role is to liberate the mRNA from a stalled ribosome. To accomplish this part of the tmRNA is used as a reading frame that ends in a translation stop signal. The record is from Rfam by way of RNAcentral. Lineage: Bacteria; Pseudomonadati; Bacteroidota; Flavobacteriia; Flavobacteriales; Flavobacteriaceae.
GGGGUCGACUGGUUUUGACAGCAAGUCGAAUUGAAAAGUAAGCACGUCGAGAACUGGGACAAUUCUCGUUAAUAAAAGGUUUCAAAACACUUACACGGCGAAGGAAACUACGCUCUUGCUGCAUAAUCUGAAUUAUAGUAAGAUUAGCCUCGUCCUACCAGGUAGGAAAGCAGGAUUCAUCUCGAAAGCUUUGGUUUAUAGCGGUCGAUAAAGAUGAAUCGUAAAUUUAAACCUAAGAACAGUGUAGCUUCGGAACUGUUACAAAAAUUAAAGAAGAUAAGUGUUGUGUGGCUGUUUCUGGCCAAGCACGACGACGAAAAUUCAAUCAGGAAAUAAGCGUGUAGAAAGUUUUUUAGUUGCUUGUUUGGACCCGGGUUCGAUUCCCGGCGAUUCCACCA